CCCUUAGAUGUUCUGGGCCGCACGCGCGCUACACUGACGAAGUCAGCGAGCAUGUCCUACGCCGACAGGUGCGGGGAAUCUUGUCAAACUUCGUCGUGAUGGGGAUUGAUUAUUGAAAUUCUUGAUCAUCAACGAGGAAUUCCUAGUAAGCGCAAGUCAGCAGCUUGCGUUGAUUACGUCCCUGCCCUUUGUACACACCGCCCGUCGCUACUACCGAUUGAAUGGUUUAGUGAGAUCUUCGGAUUGGCGCCACUGCGGCUCAGCAAUGGGCUCGGUGGAUGCCGAAAAGUUGAUCAAACCUGAUCAUUUAGAGGAAGUAAAAGUCGUAACA
RNAcentral lists this ribosomal RNA (331 nucleotides) under uncultured eukaryote. RNAcentral describes it as "partial 18S ribosomal RNA". It matches the Rfam family "Eukaryotic small subunit ribosomal RNA", at positions 1470 to 1796 of the family's 1831-position model. The record is from RNAcentral.